This 550-nucleotide ribosomal RNA is filed under the name uncultured Glomus. RNAcentral's name for it is "SSU rRNA". It matches the Rfam family "Eukaryotic small subunit ribosomal RNA", at positions 548 to 1098 of the family's 1831-position model. The record is from RNAcentral. Lineage: Eukaryota; Fungi; Glomeromycota; Glomeromycetes; Glomerales; Glomeraceae.
UUGGAGGGCAAGUCUGGUGCCAGCAGCCGCGGUAAUUCCAGCUCCAAUAGCGUAUAUUAAAGUUGUUGCAGUUAAAAAGCUCGUAGUUGAAUUUCGGGAUCAAUAUUUCGGUCAUGCCGUUGGUAUGCACUGUUAUCAUUGAUUUCUCACCUUCUAAAGAGCCGUAAUGCCAUUAAUUUGGUGUUACGGGGAAUUAGGACUGUUACCUUGAAAAAAUUAGAGUGUUUAAAGCAGGCUCACGCUUGAAUACAUUAGCAUGGAAUAAUGAAAUAGGACAUCCGAUUCUAUUUUGUUGGUUUCUAGGAUCGAUGUAAUGAUUAAUAGGGAUAGUUGGGGGCAUUAGUAUUCAAUUGUCAGAGGUGAAAUUCUUGGAUUUAUUGAAGACUAACUACUGCGAAAGCAUUUGCCAAGGAUGUUUUCAUUAAUCAAGAACGAAAGUUAGGGGAUCGAAGACGAUCAGAUACCGUCGUAGUCUUAACCAUAAACUAUGCCGACUAGGGAUCGGAUGAUGUUAAUUUUUUAAUGACUCAUUCGGCGCCUUACGGGAAAC